This 72-nucleotide transfer RNA is filed under the name Camelus bactrianus (Bactrian camel). It matches the Rfam family "tRNA". From Rfam's summary of the family: Transfer RNA (tRNA) molecules are approximately 80 nucleotides in length. Their secondary structure includes four short double-helical elements and three loops (D, anti-codon, and T loops). RNAcentral also lists the same sequence under 1 other name. The record is from Rfam by way of RNAcentral. Lineage: Eukaryota; Metazoa; Chordata; Mammalia; Artiodactyla; Camelidae.
GAGGGUAUAGCUCAGUGAUCGUGUGUGUGCUUAGCACGCGUGAGGUCCUGGGUUCAAUCCCCAGUACCUCCA